AAUGAACGCUGGCGGCAGGCUUAACACAUGCAAGUCGAGCGAGCGGAGGACGGGUGAGUAAUGUCUGGGAAAAUGCCUGAUGGAGGGGGAUAACUACUGGAAACGGUAGCUAAUACCGCAUACCAUCAGAUGUGCCCAGAUGGGAUUAGCUAGUAGGUGGGGUAAUGGCUCACCUAGGCGACGAUCCCUAGCUGGUCUGAGAGGAUGACCGGCCACACUGUAACUGAGUCACGGUACAGACUCUCACGGUGGGCAGCAGUGGGGAAUAUUGGACAAUGGUCGAAAGCCUGAUGCAGCGAUGCCGCGUGUGUGAAGAGGGCUUUCGGGUUUUAAAGCACUUUCAGCGAGGAGGCGUUACUCGCAGAAGAAGCACCGGCUAACUCCGUGCCAGCAGCCGCGGUAAUUC
Molecule: ribosomal RNA, 406 nt
Filed under: uncultured bacterium
Lineage: Bacteria
Description: partial 16S ribosomal RNA
Rfam family: Bacterial small subunit ribosomal RNA
Source: RNAcentral